Molecule: small nuclear RNA, 122 nt
Filed under: Cervus elaphus hippelaphus
Lineage: Eukaryota; Metazoa; Chordata; Mammalia; Artiodactyla; Cervidae
Also listed under: 1 other name
Source: RNAcentral
GUGCUCGCUUUGGUAGCACAUAUACUAAAAUUGAAAUAAUAGAUCAGCUAUUAAAUAAGAGAAGAUCAGCAUGGCCCCAGAGCAAAGAUGUCAUACAAAUUCAUGAAUUGUUCCAUAUAUUU